Tachysurus fulvidraco (yellow catfish) is the source of this 2519-nucleotide RNA transcript. It is a transcript of the gene named arginine and glutamate rich 1a, with no coding region annotated. The transcript is spliced from 4 exons. The record is from RefSeq and is a predicted model, not a curated record. NCBI's taxonomy places the organism in Eukaryota, Metazoa, Chordata, Actinopteri, Siluriformes, Bagridae.
GAUACCCCGAGCCGCAAGGGAUUCUGGGAAACUCGUCCACAUAGUGCAGUCGCCAUAUUUGCUUGAAAUUGCUAACUUAAAGAGUAGAUGGAAAAUAACAACAUAGCGCCGUUUUAUUUGUAAAUAUCACGUUUGUUAGACGUAGCGAAAAGGGAGAGUUUGCGUUAUCUUUGUCUUAUUUGUAUCUGCAGUUCGCCGGCGGUUUAUUUGAUAACGUUUGUUUAACCACCGCGGAAAUGGGGCGCUCGAGGAGCCGCAGCUCGUCCCGGUCAAAGCACUCGAAAAGCGGCAGCAAGCACAGCAAGAAGCGCGGCAGCCGCUCCAGGUCCCGGUCCAAAGACCACGAGAGCCGCAAGAAACGCUCCCGCUCCCGGGAAGCCAAGCGGAACCGCCGCCGCGAGUCGCGUUCCAGGUCCCGGUCGAACAGAGAGCGGCCCAGACCAACGUCGCCGGUCGACAGAGUCGACAUGUUCGGCCGCACGCUGAGCAAACGCACCGCUGCUGAGGAGAAGCAGAGGAAGGAAGAGGAGGAGAAAAAGGCUGAGAUGGAGAGACAGAGGAAGAUACCCGUGCAGGGCCCCGGACGCUGCUCUGAGAACCACUGUGAUAGCAGCCGUCAGCAGGAGAUAGAGGAACGUCUGAUCGAGGAAGAGACUGCACGGAGAGUGGAAGAGCUGGUGGCACGGCGUGUGGAAGAAGAGCUAGAGAAGCGGCGCGACGAGAUCGAGCGCGAGGUGCUACGGCGUGUCGAGGAGGCCAAACGCAUCAUGGAGGCACAGCUUCUACAAGAGCUCGAGAGACAGAGGCAGGCCGAGUUGAGCGCACAGAAAGCCCGUGAGGUAACGCUCGGUCGUUUGGAACGGCCAUGUCACCCGCCGCCGUGGCACAACCCGACAUGCACCAACUCAAGAGAGGGCACAGGGAGAACGUGAGAAUAGGUUCAUCAGCGUAGAUCAGUAGAUUUAGAUAUCAUACUAAAUAAGCCAUACAUCUAGUUGUUGUGAGCAAGAAGUACAGAACUUGCAUAUGUUUAAAACAAAAGACGUACACGGUGUUGGCUUAUCGUCUCUAGUUUCGUGUCUUUAGACAGUCGGGAGAACGCGACGAGAGAAAUUACUGUAGAAGUGGAGCAGAUCAUGCUGGGCGUGCUUGAGGAUGUGCAAUGCAAAGGUUGUGUCACGGCCGCGAGAUGUUAAUCAUUUCUUUUCCUUUGUCCCUCUUUUCCACCUUCCUGGCCUUCACUCUUGAUACUUUUGCUCUCUUAUUUUUGUCAAUGUACUUCUCCUGUUUUUCAAUAAAUAAAAAAACAAACACAAAAAAAAAACUAAAAGAACACUGAUAUUUUGGGUAGGCUUUGUCUUUGUUCUUGAAUAUGCUUUCAUGUAUUUUUUCUGACAUUAAAUGAUCCGUCUUUUUGUCGUUAAAACCCGUAAACAAACUGAAAUAAUUUUUAAGCGGAUACGUAAAAUAAAUGUGUUUUGGCAUCUAGAUCUAUGUAACAAAAGCAGGUUUUUUUUUUUAUAUCGAGUCAUUAAUCCUGACACUAAUUCUCCUCCCGAUUCAACACCCCCCGGUCCUGUGGGUCAGCACUAACGGGGUUAGAUAUGUGCCCUUCUGCUGCCCAGUCCAAUUCAGACCGGUUAGAUUCAGGGCUCAGACAUACCAACAUGCUCUAUUUACCACAUGAUCUUGCUUUGUUUGCCAGCGUUUCCCUUUUUUUUUUUUUUUUUAAGUGUAGGAAUAAAUCACUGAAGCAAAAUAGUAAAUCCAGCUCUUUUUCUUUUCUUUCAAAACUUAAUCUCUAUUGGAGAGUAUAUACACAUUCUCACAUUUUCCUGUCUUUCUUUUAUAUAUUCUUGUUUGUUUUAUUUUUUUUUUAAUUCUUAUUUAUUUAAUAAUUUACUGUCUCCUAACCACAUUUAUUUUUUCUUUAUCACUUACUUUAUUCAUUGUUAAAAGUGCAGUAUUGUAAAUGUACUUCUGUGUCUUCACGACUUGCUUUUCCUCAGGAAGCUGGUUUUCGUACACACACACGCACACACACACAUGUACAACAAGAGGUCACGUAGUACACACACACACACACACGCACUCACUCUCUCUGUAGCCUCUCCACUCAGUUUCUACACUUACAAACAGAUAUUUCAUGUAACGAAUGAUCGCAUUUUUGUGUUCCUGCAGUUGUUAACACCCUUUUAACAGUAAAAGCCUGACGUCCCGCGAUUGUUCAUGUCCACACAUGGUAAUGUGUUUUACUUCCAUUCUUCACUCUCCUGUCCAACACACCAUCACUUUGACUUUACUGCAAUGUGAUAUACUGCAUGUGGUGUUGCUGUGUAAGAGCACUAGCUCGUGCUAGCGGCUCAGAGCAGAGAUUUUAAAGGGGAAGCGCAGCGCUGUCCAGGACGGGACACACGCGGGACCAGGCAGUAAAUACACCCUUUAAUCAUCAGUUGUGUAGGUACAGUGCACAGUCAAAGGAAAAAAGCGAGGAAGAAAAAUCCAAACGGGAGGAGCUG